UGCGUAGGUGGCCUUUUAAGUUGGAUGUGAAAUACCCGGGCUUAACUUGGGGGUGCAUCCAGAACUGGGAGGCUAGAGUGCAGGAGAGGAAAGCGGAAUUCCUAGUGUAGCGGUGAAAUGCGUAGAUAUUAGGAGGAACACCAGUGGCAAAGGCGGCUUUCUGGACUGUAACUGACACUGAGGCACGAAAGCGUGGGGAGCAAACAG
RNAcentral lists this ribosomal RNA (207 nucleotides) under uncultured Bacillota bacterium. RNAcentral describes it as "uncultured Firmicutes bacterium partial 16S ribosomal RNA". It matches the Rfam family "Bacterial small subunit ribosomal RNA", at positions 568 to 775 of the family's 1533-position model. The record is from RNAcentral. Lineage: Bacteria; Bacillati; Bacillota.